AUUGAACGCUGGCGGCAUGCUUUACACGUGCAAGUCGAACGGUAACAGGCCGCAAGGUGCUGACGAGUGGCGAACGGGUGAGUAAUGCAUCGGAACGUGCCCAGUCGUGGGGGAUAACGCAGCGAAAGCUGUGCUAAUACCGCAUACGAUCUAUGGAUGAAAGCGGGGGACCGUAAGGCCUCGCGCGAUUGGAGCGGCUGAUGUCGGAUUAGGUAGUUGGUGGGGUAAAGGCUCACCAAGCCAACGAUCUGUAGCUGGUCUGAGAGGACGACCAGCCACACUGGGACUGAGACACGGCCCAGACUCCUACGGGAGGCAGCAGUGGGGAAUUUUGGACAAUGGGCGCAAGCCUGAUCCAGCAAUGCCGCGUGCAGGAAGAAGGCCUUCGGGUUGUAAACUGCUUUUGUACGGAACGAAACGGUCCUGGUUAAUACCUGGGGCUAAUGACGGUACCGUAAGAAUAAGCACCGGCUAACUACGUGCCAGCCGCCGCGGUAA
RNAcentral lists this ribosomal RNA (498 nucleotides) under uncultured bacterium. RNAcentral's name for it is "partial 16S ribosomal RNA". It matches the Rfam family "Bacterial small subunit ribosomal RNA", at positions 30 to 523 of the family's 1533-position model. The record is from RNAcentral.